This 441-nucleotide ribosomal RNA is filed under the name uncultured bacterium. RNAcentral's name for it is "partial 16S ribosomal RNA". It matches the Rfam family "Bacterial small subunit ribosomal RNA", at positions 338 to 795 of the family's 1533-position model. The record is from RNAcentral.
CCUACGGGAGGCAGCAGUGGGGAAUAUUGCACAAUGGGGGAAACCCUGAUGCAGCAACGCCGCGUGAGUGAGGAAGUAUUUCGGUAUGUAAAGCUCUAUCAGCAGGGAAUAGAAAAGAAGGUACCUGAAAAAGAAGCCUCGGCUAACUACGUGCCAGCAGCCGCGGUAAUACGUAUGGUGCAAGCGUUAUCCGGAUUUACUGGGUGUAAAGGGAGCGCAGGCGGCACGGCAAGCCUGAUGUGAAAGCCCGCGGCCCAACCGCGAGAAUGCAUUGGAAACUACCGGGCUUGAGUGCCGGAGAGGUAGGCGGAAUUCGUAGUGUAGCGGUGAAAUGCGUAGAUAUCAGGAGGAACACCGGUGGCGAAGGCGGCCUGCUGGACUGCGACUGACGUUGAGGCCCGAAAGCGUGGGGAGCAAACAGGAUUAGAUACCCUUGUAGUC